RNAcentral lists this ribosomal RNA (465 nucleotides) under Vreelandella stevensii. RNAcentral's name for it is "partial 16S ribosomal RNA". It matches the Rfam family "Bacterial small subunit ribosomal RNA", at positions 338 to 795 of the family's 1533-position model. Lineage: Bacteria; Pseudomonadati; Pseudomonadota; Gammaproteobacteria; Oceanospirillales; Halomonadaceae. The record is from RNAcentral.
CCUACGGGGGGCAGCAGUGGGGAAUAUUGGACAAUGGGGGGAACCCUGAUCCAGCCAUGCCGCGUGUGUGAAGAAGGCCCUCGGGUUGUAAAGCACUUUCAGUGAGGAAGAACGCCUGGUGGUUAAUACCCAUCAGGAAAGACAUCACUCACAGAAGAAGCACCGGCUAACUCCGUGCCAGCAGCCGCGGUAAUACGGAGGGUGCGAGCGUUAAUCGGAAUUACUGGGCGUAAAGCGCGCGUAGGUGGCUUGAUAAGCCGGUUGUGAAAGCCCCGGGCUCAACCUGGGAACGGCAUCCGGAACUGUCAAGCUAGAGUGCAGGAGAGGAAGGUAGAAUUCCCGGUGUAGCGGUGAAAUGCGUAGAGAUCGGGAGGAAUACCAGUGGCGGAGGCGGCCUUCUGGACUGACACUGACACUGAGGUGCGAAAGCGUGGGUAGCAAACAGGAUUAGAUACCCUGGUAGUC